This 530-nucleotide ribosomal RNA is filed under the name uncultured soil bacterium. Its description in RNAcentral is "bacterial SSU rRNA". It matches the Rfam family "Bacterial small subunit ribosomal RNA", at positions 8 to 524 of the family's 1533-position model. The record is from RNAcentral.
AGAGUUUGAUCCUGGCUCAGAGCGAACGUUAGCGGCGGGCCUAACACAUGCAAGUCGAACGAGAAUGUAGGCUUCGGUCUACUAGUAAAGCGGCGAACGGGUGAGUAACACGUGGGUAACCCACCCUCGGUACCGGGAUAGCCCGGGGAAACCCGGAUUAAUACCGGAUGGCCACUCCGGUCUACGGACUGGCGAGAAAAGGUAGCUUCGGCCUCCGACCGAGGACGGGCCCGCGGCCGAUUAGCUUGUUGGCGGGGUAACGGCCCACCAAGGCGACGAUCGGUAGCUGGUCUGAGAGGACGAUCAGCCACACUGGAACUGAGACACGGCCCAGACUCCUACGGGAGGCAGCAGUGGGGAAUCUUGCGCAAUGGGCGGAAGCCUGACGCAGCGACGCCGCGUGCGGGAAGAAGGCCUUCGGGUUGUAAACCGCUUUCAGAAGGGACGAAGCCACUCGGGUGAAUAGCCCAGAGGGUGACGGUACCUUCAGAAGAAGCCCCGGCUAACUACGUGCCAGCAGCCGCGGUAAU